CCAGAGUAUGCCAGAUCCGCCACAAAUACAGGAAUUCCACUGUUCACACGAACAGAGUCUCCCCUGUAUUUGCACGGCGUCGCACAAGUACAACAGUACAAACAGAAUACAACCACCUAAAUGAAUAUAGAAAUAAUUAUUCAUUCAUACAUUCAUACAUUCACCAUUCAUAUCACAGAUUUGUAUUUAAUAUUUAAACAUAAAUCCACAGAAAAUUCUUUUGAAAACUGUUUCCUACACGGAAACCUUUAUUCUUUAAAAACGCUACCACGAGGGGUAGAAAACCUUUCCAUUUCACAAAAUCCACAAAUCCAUUUA
RNAcentral lists this long non-coding RNA (318 nucleotides) under Ananas comosus (pineapple). RNAcentral's name for it is "long non-coding RNA (ACOM_LNC036627)". Lineage: Eukaryota; Viridiplantae; Streptophyta; Magnoliopsida; Poales; Bromeliaceae. The record is from RNAcentral.